Molecule: ribosomal RNA, 433 nt
Filed under: uncultured bacterium
Lineage: Bacteria
Description: partial 16S ribosomal RNA
Rfam family: Bacterial small subunit ribosomal RNA
Source: RNAcentral
AACGAACGCUGGCGGCAUGCCUAACACAUGCAAGUCGAACGAGACCUUCGGGUCUAGUGGCGCACGGGUGCGUAACGCGUGGGAACCUGCCCUUAGGUUCGGAAUAACUCCCCGAAAGGGGUGCUAAUACCGGAUAAUGUCUUCGGACCAAAGAUUUAUCGCCUUUGGAUGGGCCCGCGUUGGAUUAGCUAGUUGGUAGGGUAAAAGCCUACCAAGGCGACGAUCCGUAGCUGGUCUGAGAGGAUGAUCAGCCACACUGGGACUGAGACACGGCCCAGACUCAAACGCAAGACGGCAGAGGGGAAAAUGGGAUAAUGGGGGACAAAUGGAUCCAGCAAUGUCGCGGAUGGUAUGAAAGCUUGAGGGUUGAAAUCUUCUUUAUCCGGGGUUGAAAGGGAAGGAACCGGAAGAGUAAGCCACGCCUAUUUAAAUG